Molecule: ribosomal RNA, 68 nt
Filed under: Thermoanaerobacterales bacterium
Lineage: Bacteria; Bacillati; Bacillota; Clostridia; Thermoanaerobacterales
Description: partial 16S ribosomal RNA
Rfam family: Bacterial small subunit ribosomal RNA
Source: RNAcentral
AUUAACAUGAGAGUUUGAUCCUGGCUCAGGACGAACGCUGGCGGCGUGCCUAACACAUGCAAGUCGAG